GACGAACGCUGGCGGCGUGCCUAAUACAUGCAAGUAGAACGCUGAAGAGAGGAGCUUGCUCUUCUUGGAUGAGUUGCGAACGGGUGAGUAACGCGUAGGUAACCUGCCUUGUAGCGGGGGAUAACUAUUGGAAACGAUAGCUAAUACCGCAUAACAAUGGAUGACACAUGUCAUUUAUUUGAAAGGGGCAAUUGCUCCACCACAAGAUGGACCUGCGUUGUAUUAGCUAGUAGGUGAGGUAAUGGCUCACCUAGGCGACGAUACAUAGCCGACCUGAGAGGGUGAUCGGCCACACUGGGACUGAGACACGGCCCAGACUCCUACGGGAGGCAGCAGUAGGGAAUCUUCGGCAAUGGGGGCAACCCUGACCGAGCAACGCCGCGUGAGUGAAGAAGGGUUUCGGAUCGUAAAGCUCUGUUGUAAGUCAAGAACGGGUGUGAGAGUGGAAAGUUCACACUGUGACGGUAGCUUACCAGAAAGGGACGGCUAACUACGUG
Molecule: ribosomal RNA, 497 nt
Filed under: uncultured bacterium
Lineage: Bacteria
Description: partial 16S ribosomal RNA
Rfam family: Bacterial small subunit ribosomal RNA
Source: RNAcentral